GUGAACUCAGGAGUAGGUUUUUGAUAAAAGAGUAAGUUCAGCCCCCUUCCUCUCUGUUUCUCCUUUGAGUGUUCUCUUGCCAUUCCACCUUCUGCCAUGAAAUAAUACAACAAGAAGGCCCUCAUCAGAUGCCAAACAGAUGAUGGUGCCAUGCUCUUGAACAUCCCAGCCUCCAGAAUUCCUCAGCUGAAAACACAGAAUGGCCUCUCCUGGAAUACGGAGGAGACACAUGGUCCCGGCCCUGCUGCGCCUCGCCUGCUCCUCCCAAGCCCUGGAACAACUCUCCCCUGCUGCGCUCUCACUGGCAGGGCAUGGCUGUUUUUUCACCAUUUCUGAAGACGGAUCCUUCACUCAACAGCUGUGUUUGUUUACAGACCUAGAAAUGAACGCAGGACACAUACGCUUGAUCCAACGGAGUUUUUCUUUUGGCAUUUUCCCCUCUAGACUACACAAUAUAUUGGUCCUUGUAGUCCAAUUAUAACUUGCCAUUGAUGUGAGCCAAGAGGGUGGGCAGAGAGAAGGUCACCAUGGAGGGCAAACUUGUAUUAUUUGCUCCACAUUCUAUAGAUUUUUUUUUCUUUCCUUUUAGCAGGGCCAAGGACUGCACCUGCAUUCACCAUCUGAGCCUGCCAUUUCCUUAAAAUGGAGGGGCAGUGUCCCCACUUCUCAGAGGGGUCAGCCCAGUAAAUAGUCCAGUGGAGUCCAUCAGAGGUUCUGCCCAGCCAUGAUAGGACAAACCCGAAUGUCAACACCCACAAACCACACUUUCAUAUCUGGCAAAUUGUCCCCUGUAGCAAAUAGCUUUUAGCAUGAAACCCGCCAGCCUCUUUCUUUUUAAUGGGUGUUUUAAAAGAAUAAGGAUAAAAGCCUAGGACAUAAAAGGCGAUGGGAUGUUUUCUUGAAGUUUUUCUGUGUAGAAAAAUACUUUUUCUUCUUGUUUUGUUUUUGGAGUCUUUUUAUUCCCAUAAGAGUGCCUCCCCACAACUUUGAAAAUAAGAGGAUCAUCAUUCUGUAAGAACACAGAAUUUUACCAUGACUUUUUACAUGAAUACUUACAGGCCUCUUGUUUCAAAGUAAAGGGGUAUGUUGUGCUUUCAUUUCUUUGAGUUCUCUUCCAUACUAUUCCUCCCCUGGGGUUGGCUGCAGACAGUGGAGGCUGAAAACACGGGAGAACUUUCUCCAAGUUCUAAACUCGCAUCUGAGAUGCA
Molecule: long non-coding RNA, 1208 nt
Filed under: Homo sapiens (human)
Lineage: Eukaryota; Metazoa; Chordata; Mammalia; Primates; Hominidae
Description: HSALNT0332206
Source: RNAcentral